This 379-nucleotide ribosomal RNA is filed under the name Vibrio parahaemolyticus. Its description in RNAcentral is "bacterial SSU rRNA". It matches the Rfam family "Bacterial small subunit ribosomal RNA", at positions 84 to 465 of the family's 1533-position model. Lineage: Bacteria; Pseudomonadati; Pseudomonadota; Gammaproteobacteria; Vibrionales; Vibrionaceae. The record is from RNAcentral.
AACGGCGUCGAGCGGCGGACGGGUGAGUAAUGCCUAGGAAAUUGCCCUGAUGUGGGGGAUAACCAUUGGAAACGAUGGCUAAUACCGCAUGAUGCCUACGGGCCAAAGAGGGGGACCUUCGGGCCUCUCGCGUCAGGAUAUGCCUAGGUGGGAUUAGCUAGUUGGUGAGGUAAGGGCUCACCAAGGCGACGAUCCCUAGCUGGUCUGAGAGGAUGAUCAGCCACACUGGAACUGAGACACGGUCCAGACUCCUACGGGAGGCAGCAGUGGGGAAUAUUGCACAAUGGGCGCAAGCCUGAUGCAGCCAUGCCGCGUGUGUGAAGAAGGCCUUCGGGUUGUAAAGCACUUUCAGUCGUGAGGAAGGUAGUGUAGUUAAUAG